RNAcentral lists this long non-coding RNA (659 nucleotides) under Ananas comosus (pineapple). RNAcentral describes it as "long non-coding RNA (ACOM_LNC025764)". The record is from RNAcentral. Lineage: Eukaryota; Viridiplantae; Streptophyta; Magnoliopsida; Poales; Bromeliaceae.
CAUAUAUACUUUUAUGAGUAUUAGGCCCUUCGUACUCAUAAAUUGUUUUCGAUGAUCGGACUUCCGAAUCGACGAUCCACUCUAUUAAAUAUGAUCUAGAGUAUUUAAAACUUUUAAAAAAUAAAUUUCGUAAUUUUUUAAAAUCAUAAUAAAAUCCAUCAAGCGGAUAUAAAAUGAACGAUCGAAAUCGAACAACGUCCUAAAAAUGAAUGAUUGGAUCCUUCAAUUUAAGAUCGAAGUUAUUGAUCUUUUAUCUAGAUAGUGAAUAGAAUUUUUUAUUAAAAAUUCAACCGAUUCCGAUUCUUUUAAACUGUUAAACUAGCAAGUAUCUCAUACCGGCCGUUAAAAAAUUGUCAAUUUUGUGACCUUUUGAUCGUAAGGUAAAUGAUGUCGAAAAAUUAUGAAAUUUGAUUUCUAAAAGUUUUAAAUGCUCUAGAUAAUGUUUGACGGUAUGAAUCGUUGAUUCGAAAAGUCUAUCAUCGAAAACAACUUAUGAGUACGAGGGCGAUCGUACUCAUAGUAGUAUUUAAUCCAAUGAUUAGAAAUGAUGAAAAGAAUUGAUCUAAAGGCUAAAAAACUGGUAGCAACAAUGGAAUUUUGCUACUAAUAGUAGCCCAGUCCAACUCUCUCUCUCUCUCUCUCUCUCUCUCUCUCUCUNN